UGUAGUUAACAUAUGAUUCAAUCUCUCUACUGUAAGUCCCGACUAGAUAGCAGAUCAUGGAUAAAUCAUCAAACCUCAACAUCAAUCAUAUGAUACAUUUGAUUAGCUCAAGUCCAAUUAUGAUUUUUAUAAAAAAAAAUUUCAUCAAUCACACUACUGUGGCCACAGACUCUUGGAUUUAACCUCUCAAACUUCAUAGGACUACUCCUCUCUAUCAAGGUCGAUAGAUCCUAUCUUGAUGCACACUCUACUCCUAC
This 257-nucleotide long non-coding RNA is filed under the name Elaeis guineensis (African oil palm). Its description in RNAcentral is "long non-coding RNA (EGUI_LNC045616)". The record is from RNAcentral. Lineage: Eukaryota; Viridiplantae; Streptophyta; Magnoliopsida; Arecales; Arecaceae.